GCCAGACUCCUACGGGAGGCAGCAGUGGGGGAUAUUGCACAAUGGGGGGAACCCUGAUGCAGCGACGCCGCGUGGGUGAAGGAGCGUUUCGGCGCGUAAAGCCCUAUCGGCAGGGAAGAAGGAGGACGGUACCUGACUAAGAAGCCCCGGCGAACUACGUGCCAGCAGCCGCGGUAAUACGUAGGGGGCAAGCGUUAUCCGGAUUUACUGGGUGUAAAGGGGGCGCAGAAGGCAGCGCAAGCCAGGAGUGAAAGCCCGGGGCCCAACCCCGGGACUGCUCUUGGAACUGCGCGGCUGGAGUGCAGGAGGGGCAGGCGGAAUUCCUGGUGUAGCGGUGAAAUGCGUAGAUAUCAGGAGGAACACCGGUGGCGAAGGCGGCCUGCUGGACUGCGACUGACGUUGAGGCCCGAAAGCGUGGGGAGCAAACAGGAUUAGAUACCCCGGUAGA
RNAcentral lists this ribosomal RNA (448 nucleotides) under uncultured bacterium. Its description in RNAcentral is "partial 16S ribosomal RNA". It matches the Rfam family "Bacterial small subunit ribosomal RNA", at positions 330 to 794 of the family's 1533-position model. The record is from RNAcentral.